AAGGCCUGUAGGGCAAUACCCACGAGCCCAUAAAGGAGCUCGGUCCCAAAGCCUUUCGUCCCUUGCUCUCUACUUGUUAUUUGAGCUCUCUGCCGACUUAAGACUCUGUCCAGCCUCCUGGCCACACCUGGAUACCCCCAAAUUCUCUGGAAACCGUAAUUGGACACGCAGAAGACUGGAAACUGCAGAUGUGCAGCAUAUAUUUCAUAUGCUGUGGAGGACUUGGGCUUCUUUGAGAAACAAUGGCAAAGUUCUGAGGAACUACAAUGAAGAGAUGGAGACAUGGAGUGAAGAGAGGAGCAUUAGGGGCCACACAGCAGUGGGGAUGCUUCAGCUGUUUAUGCAGGUGCCAUGUUGACAUCAGAGUGUGUUAUGUGGGGUGCUUACCACAUGGCCUCACCUACAACAGGACCAACGUGGGGAGGAUUUCCUCAAGCCUUCCACACAAGCUGCUAUACUUCAAGGAGCCUUCUGUGAUUCACAGACUUCUGUAAGUGGCCUCUGCUCUGGGUGGUGAGGAGCCAGUGAACUGCCUGCCCCACGUUCAUCCCACUUCCUGAGUGAUCAGAAGUGCUGAACAGACUGCUGAGCCAGGAGAUUUUCAUCUUCAUCUCUGACUCGCCUAUGUAGCACCAAACUCAUCUCUACAAUGGGCUACAAACUACUCUUCCAGUUUUCAUACCAGGAAGUAUCAUCACCAUAGUCAUAAUCCCAGGAAUAAGGUCACCAAGUAAACUGGUCUUCACUAUGUCAUCCAUGCUUGCCUUGAACUCAUGGCAAUCCUCAUGCCUCAGGCUCCCAAAUGAUGGGAUUAUAGGUUGGCAGGUUUGAGGCCUGUGUCCUUUAGAAAUCCCACUGCAGAGCUCGGAGGUUUAAUACAGCCAGAGAGGUAAUAAACAGCACGGAGGUCACUGGGAGCUUCCAUGAAGUGAAAAUGUUUUGUUUUAUGAAAAACCCAAAAUGCAGGAAAAAUUGAGCCUACAAAAUGAUGAUGUGAAGACUGCAGAGAGCACAUCAGAAAAUUCUGAAUUCCCUCAGAACUUUUCAGAAAACUUGAAUUGCCUUUGACAACAGAUCUGCCCUCUUCCAGAUUUAAAUGCCUCCAAGUGGUAAAUGGGACUUGAGUUUGUCUUGGGGGCUUGGGGAUAGUCGUGGGUUUAGGGAGGCUGCUGUGCCCUGUGAUUAUAUACCACUUUCCCUGGAUUUAGGGAGAUGUGAGCAUGUCCCAUUUAUCUCGAUACCACAGGGUGUAAUCCUAAAUGUCAGCACCAAAUAAGAUUACAGAGCACUAAGUAUCAUUUUUAAUUUUCUUAUUCAAAAGCAGAACUAGAUUGUGCUUGCUUUUUGUUUUGAUCCCACCUAGCAACAGACUUGGCAAAUAGUCGGCUGUCACAAGUCUUGACUGAAAAGUGGAAUGAAGUUCAUGAAUGAAAUAAAUCUGGGCAAUGCUCACCUUCUAAUUGUGAGAUCUUUAAAAGGCAGAAAACUUCUAUAUGUUCAAGAUCUGUUCAGUGCUCAUGGCAUAAAAUAAGAACAUUAUGGAAAAAUGCAUGGAAAUUGGAUACAUUUUCUCAACAAGACCUUUCAGAAUAAAAUUUCAAGUGACUUCAGUUGUUUUAC
This is a non-coding RNA of Heterocephalus glaber (naked mole-rat), 1620 nucleotides long. NCBI's taxonomy places the organism in Eukaryota, Metazoa, Chordata, Mammalia, Rodentia, Bathyergidae. The record is from RefSeq and is a predicted model, not a curated record.